RNAcentral lists this small RNA (16 nucleotides) under Arabidopsis thaliana (thale cress). RNAcentral's name for it is "ATSL114990". The record is from RNAcentral. Lineage: Eukaryota; Viridiplantae; Streptophyta; Magnoliopsida; Brassicales; Brassicaceae.
GUUUACAUAAAGAAAA